This 1304-nucleotide ribosomal RNA is filed under the name metagenome. RNAcentral describes it as "SSU rRNA". It matches the Rfam family "Eukaryotic small subunit ribosomal RNA", at positions 1 to 1346 of the family's 1831-position model. The record is from RNAcentral.
UCUGGUUGAUCCUGCCAGUAAUAUAUGCUUGUCUCAAAGAUUAAUCCAUGCAUGUCUAAGUAUAAAUAGUAUACCUUAAAACUGCAAAUGGCUCAUUAAAACAGUUAUAGUUUAUUUGAUAAUGAAACGCUACAUGGAUAACCGUGGUAAUUCUAGAGCUAAUACAUGCUGAUAGCCCGGCUCACGUCGUGGUUGUAUUUAUUAGAUAUAAAACCGAUAUGUUAACAGCAUUUCGAAGGAAUAACAGUAACUGAUCGAAUCCCCGCCUGUCGAGGAUAAAUCAUUCAAGUUUCUGCCCUAUCAGCUUUCGAUGGUAGUGUAUUGGACUACCAUGGCGGUAACGGGUAACGGAGAAUUAGUGUUCGAUUCCGGAGAGGGAGCCUGAGAAACGGCUACCACAUCUAAGGAAGGCAGCAGGAGCGUAAAUUACCCAAUGUCGAUUCGAUGAGCGUAGUGACAAUACAUAACAAAGAGGGGAUUUAUUAUCUUACUCUAUUGCAAUGAGGCAUGUUUAAUAAACUGUUCGAGCAACCAGUGAAGGGCAAGUCUGGUGCCAGCAGCCGCGGUAAUUCCAGCUUCACGAGUGUAUGUUUAAGUUGUUGCAGUUAAAAAGCUCGUAGUUGAACUUCUGUGCGGCGUGUAGGCGCGCAUAACGCCUGCAAGCUACACAUUCGCCUGAAAAAUCAUUCGGAUCUUCACUGAUUCAAUGCUGGAUCAGGCAUUUUACUUUGAAAAAAUUAGAGUGUUCAAAGCAGGCUGAGGCCUGGAUACAUUAGCAUGGAAUAAUGGAAUAGGACGCUCCAUUUUGUUGGUUAUUGGUUAGCGUAAUGAUUAAUAGGGACAGUUGGGGGCAUUUGUAUUUAAUUGUCAGAGGUGAAAUUCUUGGAUUUAUUAAAGACAAACUUAUGCGAAAGCAUUUGCCAAGGAUGUUUUCAUUAAUCAAGAACGAAAGUUAGAGGAUCAAAGACGAUCAGAUACCGUCCUAGUUUUAACUAUAAACUAUGCCGACCCGGUCUUCGUCAAGUCUUUUUAACUUGAUGAGUCCCGUAUGAGAAAUCAAAGUCUUUGGGUUCCGGGGGGAGUAUGGUCGCAAGGCUGAAACUUAAAGGAAUAGACGGAACAUCACACCAGUUGUGGAUCGUGCGGCUUAAUUUGACCCAACACGGGGAAACUUACCAGCGCAAAACAAGGGUGGGAUUGACAGAUUGAGAGCUCUUUCUUGAUUCUUUGGAUAGUGGUGCAUGGCCGUUCUUAGUUGGUGGAGUGAUUUGUCUGCUCAAUUGCGUUAACGAACGAGACCUCAC